GCCCUCGUGGCGGAAUGGUAUACGCGGCAGGUUGAGGGCCUGUGCCUUUAAGGCGUGGUGGUUCGAGUCCACUCGAGGGCACC
Molecule: transfer RNA, 83 nt
Filed under: Ktedonobacteria bacterium brp13
Lineage: Bacteria; Bacillati; Chloroflexota; Ktedonobacteria
Description: tRNA-Leu
Rfam family: tRNA
About the family: Transfer RNA (tRNA) molecules are approximately 80 nucleotides in length. Their secondary structure includes four short double-helical elements and three loops (D, anti-codon, and T loops). Further hydrogen bonds mediate the characteristic L-shaped molecular structure. tRNAs have two regions of fundamental functional importance: the anti-codon, which is responsible for specific mRNA codon recognition, and the 3' end, to which the tRNAs corresponding amino acid is attached (by aminoacyl-tRNA synthetases). tRNAs cope with the degeneracy of the genetic code in two manners: having more than one tRNA (with a specific anti-codon) for a particular amino acid; and 'wobble' base-pairing, i.e. permitting non-standard base-pairing at the 3rd anti-codon position.
Source: RNAcentral